RNAcentral lists this ribosomal RNA (258 nucleotides) under Nocardia cyriacigeorgica. RNAcentral's name for it is "partial 23S ribosomal RNA". It matches the Rfam family "Bacterial large subunit ribosomal RNA", at positions 579 to 823 of the family's 2925-position model. The record is from RNAcentral. Lineage: Bacteria; Bacillati; Actinomycetota; Actinomycetes; Mycobacteriales; Nocardiaceae.
GCCUUCGAGCAGCUUGCUGCUGGGGGUGAUGGCGUGCCUUUUGAAGAAUGAGCCUGCGAGUUAGUGGCAUGUGGCGAGGUUAACCCGUGGUGGGGUAGCCGUAGCGAAAGCGAGUCCGAAUAGGGCGCCCAGAGUCGCAUGUUCUAGACCCGAAGCGGAGUGAUCUACCCAUGGCCAGGGUGAAGCGACGGUAAGACGUCGUGGAGGCCCGAACCCACUUAGGUUGAAAACUGAGGGGAUGAGCUGUGGGUAGGGGUG